AGAGUUUGAUCCUGGCUCAGAAUCAACGCUGGCGGCGUGCCUAACACAUGCAAGUCGCACGAGAAAGGGUAGCAAUACCUGAGUAAAGUGGCGCACGGGUGAGUAACACGUGAAUCAUCUACCUCCGAGUGGGGAAUAACCUAGAGAAAUCUGGGCUAAUACCGCAUAACACUUACGAGUCAAAGCAGCAAUGCGCUUGGAGAGGAGUUCGCGGCCGAUUAGCUAGUUGGCGGGGUAAUGGCCCACCAAGGCGAUGAUCGGUAUCCGGCCUGAGAGGGCGCACGGACACACUGGAACUGAAACACGGUCCAGACUCCUACGGGAGGCAGCAGUGGGGAAUUUUGCGCAAUGGGGGAAACCCUGACGCGGCAACGCCGCGUGGAGGAUGAAAUAUCUUGGUAUGUAAACUCCUUUCGAUGGGGAAGAUUAUGACGGUACCCAUAGAAGAAGCCCCGGCUAACUUCGUGCCAGCAGCCGCGGUAAUACGAGGGGGGCAAGCGUUGUUCGGAUUUAUUGGGCGUAAAGGGUGCGUAGGCGGUUUGGCAAGUCUUAUGUGAAAUCUUCGGGCUCAACCCGAAGUCUGCAUAAGAAACUGCCGGGCUUGAGUAUGGGAGAGGUGAGUGGAAUUUCCGGUGUAGCGGUGAAAUGCGUAGAUAUCGGAAGGAACACCUGUGGCGAAAGCGGCUCACUGGACCAUAACUGACGCUGAGGCACGAAAGCUAGGGGAGCAAACAGGAUUAGAUACCCUGGUAGUCCUAGCCCUAAACGAUGAUUGCUUGGUGUGGCAGGUACCCAAUCCUGCCGUGCCGAAGCUAACGCGAUAAGCAAUCCGCCUGGGGAGUACGGUCGCAAGGCUGAAACUCAAAGGAAUUGACGG
RNAcentral lists this ribosomal RNA (877 nucleotides) under uncultured Acidobacteriaceae bacterium. Its description in RNAcentral is "bacterial SSU rRNA". It matches the Rfam family "Bacterial small subunit ribosomal RNA", at positions 8 to 916 of the family's 1533-position model. Lineage: Bacteria; Pseudomonadati; Acidobacteriota; Terriglobia; Terriglobales; Acidobacteriaceae. The record is from RNAcentral.